AGACGAGGAACCAGAAGAUAAGUUCACAGCCCUUCAAGAUGCGACUUGUACUCAUCUCCUUGCUGGUCGUGUUGGUGUCUGGGACUGUGAGAGCAGAGAAUGACGUAGACAACAACAAGUAUGUAGAGGUGGAACGUCGUCAAUUAUUGGGGAUUGGGUGGUGUAUCUUCUCAGGAGUAAAAUGUAGUCCUUUUUAUCAAAGACAAAUUGCGGAGUCUCAACCAGCACAGAUACGAUAACUUCAAAUCAGCCCAUGGUUUUAUCUUGAUUAGAUUAAAACGCAAAUGGCGA
Physella acuta is the source of this 291-nucleotide long non-coding RNA. RefSeq lists it as uncharacterized. The record is from RefSeq and is a predicted model, not a curated record. NCBI's taxonomy places the organism in Eukaryota, Metazoa, Mollusca, Gastropoda, Physidae.